Pungitius pungitius (ninespine stickleback) is the source of this 198-nucleotide long non-coding RNA. RefSeq lists it as uncharacterized. The transcript has 2 exons. NCBI's taxonomy places the organism in Eukaryota, Metazoa, Chordata, Actinopteri, Perciformes, Gasterosteidae. The record is from RefSeq and is a predicted model, not a curated record.
AGUAAGUCGUUUACUUUUCACUUGUCAUUUAUGAAUCUGACUCCUCAGAACUCGCACUGCGUUUGGUUUGAUUUUGCUUCCAGGUUAUUUAUUCCACGUAUAGUCACUGAUUCAUGUUCAGCAGAGACGGAGGUGUCCAGGAUCUCAGGUUCACGCUACGCCCUGACCCCCCCCUGACCAAAGCAGGGGGGGGGGGGG